GAUGAACGCUGGCGGCGUGCUUAACACAUGCAAGUCGAACGGGAUCCCAGGAGCUUGCUCCUGGGUGAGAGUGGCGAACGGGUGAGUAAUGCGUGACCGACCUGCCCCAUACACCGGAAUAGCUCCUGGAAACGGGUGGUAAUGCCGGAUGCUCCAGUUGACCGCAUGGUCCUCUGGGAAAGAUUCAUCGGUAUGGGAUGGGGUCGCGUCCUAUCAGCUUGAUGGCGGGGUAACGGCCCACCAUGGCUUCGACGAGUAGCCGGCCUGAGAGGGCGACCGGCCACAUUGGGACUGAGAUACGGCCCAGACUCCUACGGGAGGCAGCAGUGGGGAAUAUUGCACAAUGGGCGCAAGCCUGAUGCAGCGACGCCGCGUGCGGGAUGACGGCCUUCGGGUUGUAAACCGCUUUUGACUGGGAGCAAGCCCUUCGGGGUGAGUGUACCUUUCGAAUAAGCACCGG
This 460-nucleotide ribosomal RNA is filed under the name uncultured bacterium. Its description in RNAcentral is "bacterial SSU rRNA". It matches the Rfam family "Bacterial small subunit ribosomal RNA", at positions 28 to 496 of the family's 1533-position model. The record is from RNAcentral.